ACUGUCGGCGGAGGGAAAAAAAAAAAAAACAGCUGCAUGACGGCAGAGCAGAGACAGAUGGAAGCAAAACAGCCAAACCAAUAAAUGAUAAACAAAUCCAGGAAAUAUUAACGAGCUCCACGUGUUUUGUAGGCACUUUGAGCUUUGCUUCCCGGUUUUUAUCCCCCCACCUAACCUUUUGGACGUUGUAGUUCUCUACAUGCCCACCAGAUGUCCCUCCCGCUCACUGCAUCAGCUGCAGCCCAUUACUUAUUCACGCUCACUUCUUCUUCCCCACAGGAGGAGCUGUGUGCUGCCAGACAAUUUGCUUCAGGAGAAAAUCCUGCGCUUGCCGACAACCAGUGAAUCAAAGAACUCGAUAUUAAACGCGGCUGCUGCUGCAGUGCAGACAGACGUUGAUGAGACCAGAGGAGGAAAUACGAGUAAAUGAAUUUUCUAAGGAUUUUUUUUUUUUAGUGCUCAUUUCACAAGUCAAGGUAAGUGAAGAAUCAAAAAGUUGAUUUAACUUAAUAUAAACUUCACAUUCACUUAGGUGACUCAUCCACCGCAGGGAGACGAGCAUUUGCUGUAGCUGCAGGGGGUCCGGCUUCAUCUGACAAAGUGAGAAAAUCAAAACAGAUUUUUUUUUUUUUUUUUUUCCCAGAGUAAAUAACUAAUUUAUCCUUCAGACGCUGGAAGACCGAACGGAUAAAAGAUAUCACUAAAUAUGGUGGAUUUCUUCAAGCAAACGCCAAAAGUGAGAGAGGUCGAUGUAUUCGACGCUGCUGCUACUUAUAAACGCACUUAACUUUAUACAGAAAGCAGUGAUUCAAAGAACAGAAAAUUCAGUUUUUGGAGGAACUUUUACCAAAAAGAAAAAAAAAAUCGACGACAAAUCCCAAAGCACCUCACGACCUUUACGAUCGAAGGGCCAUUUCUGCCUUCAGUCCAGGCAAAAUAAAGUCAUUUAGAGACACCAAUGUAACGUGAUCUCUGACAACUUAUAACUUCAUAUAGACAGAAAGAGCAACAGAAAGAAAUAUGUUUAGGCUUUCAAGUACAGAACAACACGCAUUUUGCUUAAAGGGGACAUUUUCAUCUAUUGUAUGUGAAUUAAGAAAAAAUUACUUUUAGUGUCAUUCUGAAUAACAGAAAAGCUGAAAAACUGCUAAAAACUUUAAUUUAUUAAAUUGACAUUCAUUCAAUAAUUUAGAUUCUGUGUUACAAUGAGGGUCUGCGUCAGAUUAAAAAUACCUGGUAAAACUAAUAUUAACCCUAAUAAUAAAUUAUAUGUUACUCAUUCUAAUCUGAAACGACUUGUUUUUAUUGACUGCCAGCAAAAAAAUCCUCAUCAAUAAAAGAAAAUUGACAACAUCAGUGUGUGUGUAUUUAAUAGAUUUAUUUUGCUUCACUUAUUGAGCUGAGUUAGUAAUAUGAAUAAGCAUUUCAAUGAUGUUCUAACUUAUUGAAUAUGACUAUAUAUUUAAAACAUACAAGUUGAGAGCAAAAUGCAACUGAGAACCUGUGCGGUUACCAUCUGCCCUCUGUUCAGUCUGACUAAACUUCAGCUGAUUUGUGCAAAACGAUGAAAAAAAAAACUUAUAACUUUGUGUCAUUCCCCAUCAACGUCCAUAUUUUGCACUUCUUUCUGUAGAUUCCCUAAAAACCUUAAAGACUGAAUGAAAGGCCGCCGUCUUCAACGCGACAGAAAUAUUUUGAAGAACUUGUAUUUUUAUAUUUAAAGCAAUAUUUCAGCAGACCAGCUCUUGCUGCCGUUGUAUUCCUUUACAAAGUCCUCCGUUGGGUCAAAUUGUUUCCACAGAAGAAGAAAUUCAAGUAAUCCAAGGUGGCGGGCGGUGGUGACAUUGAGACAAAGAGGAAAAAAGGAAGCAAUCACACAGACAGGUUGCAGAUGGCAGCACAGAGAGAGCAGAACCUGAGAAAAUUAAAUAUACCACUGUUCCUGAAGUCAAGCAGGGUACAGAUCCACACACACACCAACACAGACACACACACACACACACACACCCUGGUUUGGGGCCAAAUUAGGAAGCUAACUUUCUCCUCUGGUGGGCGCGGCGGAGGCUGAUGACUCACUCACAUUAAUCUUUCUGACGCUGCUCUCCAGCAGCGGCGAAAGAAGCCAACUGGAGCUUUCCCAUAAGAAAGUUCAAGUAAUGAUUCUGAUUCUCGCCUUACAAAGCCAUUUUUCAGACUAUGUCACUUAUGAGACCAUGAGUCGGUGAUUCAAGGGGGCAGCAGAGAGGAAAAAGGAGAAAGCGAAGUUGGGGAGAUUAUGAGCAAAGCGGGAACAGGAAGGAAACCUGGGCUGCGGAAGGAGAAGAGAGCUGGCUCAUCUCGGCUACAAAUCCUGGCCUGCUCCGGCGCCUGCGUGCCAAACAAGAGGGAACAAGUGACAGGAAAGUGUUGCAUCUCCUCCGAUGGAGCUCCAAAGUUUAACUUCGCCUUCAGCUUCUCAACUUAUGCAACAAGCACAUUUCAGUGAAGGGUUUAUAAUUUAACCAGGGGGCCACAGACGAAGGAUUGGGGUCAGGGUAGCAGCGAACACCAAAACACUCCUACAACAAUCCUGCAGGACACGCCAACACACGCGUACACACCGAGGAGGUCCUGGAUGCUUCGGCUUCCAUUGUUAAAAAUGAAAAUCGAUACGAUUUAUUGGUUUUCCAUCUCUAACUACACACUUAUUGUUGAUGUUUUCGCAGGAAUCUACGAGCGCUUUGUAGAUGCAGGAUGUUGUGGGCAUUUGCCACCUCUCAUUUCGUUUCGCAGCCAAGUUUGCGCUUGAAUUCAAGGAUAAAGGCAAGGUUUCCGCACAGAUGGUAUUUCAGACGCACCUCGCAAACCAGAUUCCAUCAAGUUAUUAAUUCUCACGUUUCAGUGUUGCCUGUGGCCACCAGAGCUGACGCCCGCGAAGACGAUGAGGCGCUCCUGGCUGCAGUUGUCAUUUUAGGUGAGGAUGCAUGGGCUUUGGCGGCGCGUUAGAAGCACAGCAGAUGGGCUAGGGAUUUUUUUUUUCUUUCUAAGGCGGAUGAGCGACAGAACGCCGGUGGGAGGAUGUUUCUAUCUUGCUCUCGCUGCUGCCUAAUCGGUUAUUUUCUCAAUCUGUUGCUUCGCGUCUCCUUGUCUGUCUGCAUUUGUCUAUAAGUUGCAGUGCAGGGGGGGGAGAUCAUUUCAGCACAUGGGGCCGCAGGGCGAUGAGAAAGCACAAAGAAACUGACAAUCACAAUAACAUCACCGCUGGGUUAGCAUGCAUUACCUCGGCAACUCGGGCUUUCACGUUUUCCCAGCUCCGCGUACGAUAAAGGGGUUUGUCGUACUUCAUUGUUGCAAAAGUUUACGCUUGGUCAUGCCCUAAAUGCACCUCGAGUAAAAUGAUUUCUUUGAUUUAAAAGACUUCACAAUCUGGAGGUUUUUGAAACGGCUCAUAUUUCAGACACCAAAAAAAUAAUAAAAUGUUUUACUUAUUGCUAGAAAAACGGAUGGACUUUUUAAGCACUUUCUAGAAGCAGUAAAAAAAGUGUAAAUUUGCAUAAGACGUCUCCUAUAAUAUCUGGAAAUCUAAAAUACUCUCUUAAAUGGUAAAACAAAAACUAUAAAACACCGAGGAUAAUACAAACGCAAACAGCGUGUGUUAGGAAAAUUAUCCUCCUGAGUUCGCUAUUUGGGACAUCAGAUUUCUGAAAAUGGGAAAGAAAUACAUGAUGAGCGAAAAUCUGCAAUAUCGAAUGCUCCAAAGCCUGUAACAAAAAAACAGAUGAUGGCUUUUCUAGGCCUCUGUAAUUAUUGCAGAGCCUGGAUCCCACAGUUUGCAGAAAAAACACAACUGCUACUUAAUCUCAUUUAUGAGACUCCUAUGGCCAUGUCUGAGGUGAUAACAUGGACACCUGAAGCUGAAAAACAGUUCACAGAUUUGAAAACAGAGCUUAUCUCAUCCACAGUUCUUGCGCUACCUGAUUACAGGAAGCCGUUCGUUCAAACUGUUGAUUGUAAAAAUGGGUUUAUGUGUUCAGUCCUGUUACAGUCUCAUGGAGGAAAAUUCAAACCUAUCGCAUAUUAUUCCAAACGGCUAGACUCAGUCGCAUCUGCACUUCCUUUAACCCUAACCCUAACCCUAACCCUACCCUAACCCAUUUUCUACAGUUUUCUUUUUUGCUAAACAAUGGGAACGCAGGGGUAUGACUACUAGUACUGGCAAAUCUGUUACACAUGCUAAGCUCCUGUUAUCGCUGCUUCAAGCUAUACUCUUGCCAUCUAAGUUGGCCCUUCUCAAAUGUGUUGCUCACACUAAAGGGACUGAUUUUGUGUCAACUGGUAAUCGUUAUGCAGAUAACACGGCUAAGCUAGCUGCUACAGGCGCUUUUGGUGUGUCAGAAAUAUAUCAUGCGACAUCACAGGAACUUCUUAUUGAUCUAGAAAUUCUCCUGUCACACCAACAAGCUGCUCACCGUGCUGAACAACGCUCAUGGUUCAGUAAGGGUGCUGUUAAGAACACAACAGGCCUUUAUAUGCUUAACAAUAAACCUAUUCUUCCUAAAAGUCUUUUUAAUGCUGCAGCAAUUCUGACUCAUAGUUGUUGCCAUGUGUCCACAGGUGGGAUGGUUCACAUAAUUCAGCAGCAUUUUUCAGUGUUUGGGUUUAAUGUAUAUGCUAAAACUUUCUGUAGAGCAUGUACAAUCUGUGUAAAACAUAAUCCACAAGGAAAUGUUCGACCAAAGAGGGGUCAAUUUCCUAAGCCACAAUACCCAUUUGAGACUAUGCAUAUGGAUUUCAUUGAACUUUCUCAAAGUGGUCCCUAUAAAUAUUGCUUAGUGAUGAUUGAUGCUUUUUCUAAAUGGGUUGAAAUUGUCCCAGCAAAACAUGCGGAUGCACUAACUGUAGCUAAAGCAAUAUGUAGAACUAUCAUUCCAACUCAUGGCAUCCCACAGAAAAUCUACAGUGACAAUGGUCCACAUUUUGUGAAUCAAGUCAUUCGGUUAAUGGCAGACAGAUUGCAGAUAACAUUAAAAAAAUCACUGUUCGUACCAUCCCCAAAGCGCAGGGUUAAUUGAAAGAGCAAAUUCUACUGUUAAAUCCAGACUUAAAAAAUGUAUGGAAGACACUAAAAGGCCAUGGCCAGAGUGUCUGGAUUUAGUGAAAAUGUACAUGAGAAUUGUGCCCACUGGGAAUGGUUUAACUCCUUUUGAAAUAGUACACGGCAGAGCUUUUAAGCUUCCGUUAUUUAAAGACACCACACCACCACCAGAUGACAGUGAAAAAACUUUAGCUGAUUACAUGAAAGAAAUGUUACAGUCUAAAGAAGUGUCAAAUGCAAAUUCACUGCCAGAAGAACCUUUGUCUUCACAGGACCUCCAGGUGGUGAAACCAGGCGAUUGGGUUUUCAUCAAGGCCAUUAAGAGACAGAACUGGGCCUGCCCACGGUGGGAGGGACCGUUUCAAGUGCUUUUGACCACUCCCACUGCAGUAAAGAUCGCUGAGAGACCAUCCUGGAUUCACCUCAGCCACUGUAAGUUGCAGAGAGUGUUGGAGACCUAGGUGGGGGCAGUGGGGAAGAUCUGACUACAAAGGGGCGUGGCUAUAUAGGGUCACACAUCUCAACGUCAGCAGAAGAACUCAUCACAUCCCUGUUCCAUAGAGUCCUAGGUAAACUCUAACAUCUCUGUAACUGAGCAAAGAUGGGGUCCUCAUGGAGAUGGGGCCUCUUUUGUGCUGUGGCUGCUGUGUGCCUGUCCUGUUUUUUCAGUCCAACCUCACUGAUCCAUCUGGGGAGAAGAUUUGUCCAUACCACUGCUAUGAAGAUCUGGCUAGGACACCUUCCAGACCAUCACCAUGACAACAUAUGGCAGACUUAUGUGGAGAUGUUGGCCAAAGAACGGAACAUGACCAACUGCUACGUCUGCUCGGUGAUGCCAAAGUCUACCAGAAAACCUACUCUGUAUGUCAGUCCCAUGUCCCAUGUGGACACCUCGAGGAAAUUAUCCCACUGAGGGUGGUUGGUUUCUGUGUGGAGGAAGUAAUAUCUAUGCGUCGCUACCCAUGAACUGGUCAGGUACUUGUGCUCCUGUGUUUGUCUCUGAUCAUACCAUCAUUGUAUCUACUGCAGCAGUACACUCCCAUCACCUGCGACGGCGGAGAAAUUCAGAAAUUGUUUUCCAGCCACAUGAUCCUAUCUGGGGUUCAAAUGUUCCCAAAGAACACAAACAUUGGAGUACUGCUGAGAAAUGGGGACUGUCAAUUUUUCCAUGGGUAGGAGCAGCAAAAUCUAUGCUGAUGAUUGAAACUUUGGAUUACAGGAUGAAGACCCUGGUAAAUAUUACCAUGGACAUUGAGAGAGGACAGAAUCAACAACUUAGUGAAAUGCGACUGAUGGUUCUCCAAAACAGGAUGGUGUUGGACAUACUUACAGCUAGUCAGGGUGGUGUGUGUGUAAUGAUAGGAACAUCUUGUUGUACUUAUAUUUCUGAUGCUAAU
Long non-coding RNA from Xiphophorus maculatus (southern platyfish), 6471 nucleotides. RefSeq lists it as uncharacterized. The transcript is spliced from 2 exons. The record is from RefSeq and is a predicted model, not a curated record. Lineage: Eukaryota; Metazoa; Chordata; Actinopteri; Cyprinodontiformes; Poeciliidae.